UACGAGUGCCCCGAGCGUUAUCCGGAAUCAUUGGGCGUAAAGCGCGCGUAGGCGGCCCUGUAAGUCCGUUGUGAAAGUCAAAGGCUCAACCUUUGAAAGCCGAUGGAUACUGCAGGGCUAGAGUCCGGAAGAGGCGAGUGGAAUUCCUGGUGUAGCGGUGAAAUGCGCAGAUAUCAGGAGGAACACCGAUGGCGAAGGCAGGUCUCUGGGCCACUACUGACGCUGAGAAGCGAAAGCAUGGGGAGCGAACAGG
Molecule: ribosomal RNA, 253 nt
Filed under: uncultured bacterium
Lineage: Bacteria
Description: partial 16S ribosomal RNA
Rfam family: Bacterial small subunit ribosomal RNA
Source: RNAcentral